AGUGAACGCUGGCGGCAGGCCUAACACAUGCAAGUCGAACGGCAGCACAAGAGAGCUUGCUCUCUGGGUGGCGAGUGGCGGACGGGUGAGGAAUGCAUCGGAAUCUGCCCAUUUGUGGGGGAUAACCUCGGGAAACCAGGACUAAUACCGCAUACGACCUACGGGCGAAAGCAGGGGAUCUUCGGACCUUGCGCAGAUGGAUGAGCCGAUGCCGGAUUAGCUAGUUGGAGGGGUAAAGGCCCACCAAGGCGACGAUCCGUAGCUGGUCUGAGAGGAUGAUCAGCCACACUGGGACUGAGACACGGCCCAGACUCCUACGGGAGGCAGCAGUGGGGAAUAUUGGACAAUGGGCGCAAGCCUGAUCCAGCCAUGCCGCGUGUGUGAAGAAGGCCUUCGGGUUGUAAAGCACUUUUGUUGGGAAAGAAAAGCAGCCGGUUAAUACCCGGUUGUCAUGACGGUACCCAAAGAAUAAGCACCGGCUAACUUCGUG
Molecule: ribosomal RNA, 490 nt
Filed under: uncultured bacterium
Lineage: Bacteria
Description: partial 16S ribosomal RNA
Rfam family: Bacterial small subunit ribosomal RNA
Source: RNAcentral